UGGGGAAUCUUGGACAAUGGGCGCAAGCCUGAUCCAGCCAUGCCGCGUGAGUGAAGAAGGCCUUAGGGUUGUAAAGCUCUUUUUACCAGGGACGAUAAUGACGGUACCUGGAGAAUAAGCCCCGGCAAACUUCGUGCCAGCAGCCGCGGUAAUACGAAGGGGGCUAGCGUUGUUCGGAAUUACUGGGCGUAAAGCGCACGUAGGCGGGUCGUUAAGUCAGGGGUGAAAUCCCGGAGCUCAACUCCGGAACUGCCUUUGAUACUGGCGAUCUAGAGAUCGAGAGAGGUGAGUGGAAUUCCGAGUGUAGAGGUGAAAUUCGUAGAUAUUCGGAAGAACACCAGUGGCGAAGGCGGCUCACUGGCUCGAUACUGACGCUGAGGUGCGAAAGCGUGGGGAGCAAACAGGAUUAGAUACCCCCGUAGUCCCUGAGCGGGCUGGCAAGGCGCAU
RNAcentral lists this ribosomal RNA (448 nucleotides) under uncultured bacterium. Its description in RNAcentral is "bacterial SSU rRNA". It matches the Rfam family "Bacterial small subunit ribosomal RNA", at positions 355 to 825 of the family's 1533-position model. The record is from RNAcentral.